This 425-nucleotide ribosomal RNA is filed under the name uncultured prokaryote. RNAcentral describes it as "bacterial SSU rRNA". It matches the Rfam family "Bacterial small subunit ribosomal RNA", at positions 355 to 796 of the family's 1533-position model. The record is from RNAcentral.
UGGGGAAUUUUCCGCAAUGGGCGAAAGCCUGACGGAGCAAUACCGCGUGAGGGAGGAAGGCUCUUGGGUUGUAAACCUCUUUUCUCAGGGAAGAAUCCUGACGGUACCUGAGGAAUCAGCAUCGGCUAACUCCGUGCCAGCAGCCGCGGUAAUACGGAGGGUGCAAGCGUUGUCCGGAUUUAUUGGGUUUAAAGGGUACGUAGGCGGGCUGUUAAGUCUGGGGUGAAAGGCUAGCGCUUAACGUUGGCAUUGCCCUGGAUACUGGCAGUCUUGAGUGCCGUAGAGGUAGGCGGAAUUCAUGGUGUAGCGGUGAAAUGCAUAGAUACCAUGAGGAACACCGAUAGGGGAGCCAGCUUACUGUAGGGCAACUGACGCUGAGGUACGAAAGCGUGGGGAGCGAACAGGAUUAGAUACCCCCGUAGUCC